UAAAUUAGUUGACCGUAAUUUUUUUAUAAAAAAAAUCAAAUCAAACAACUUAAUUAAGUUAAAAGAAAAAAUAAUAAAAAUAAAAUAAAAUUGGUGCGGUACAUUGCAGAGAAAAUACAAAAGUAAAAAUAAAAGAGGGAUAGUAAAAAUAGGAGAGAGAGAAAGUACACAUAUUGCAUAGGAAACAAAGCAUUCAUAAUAUUUGAAAAUUUCAGAACUACAUUAGCAACAGAGGAUAAACA
This 242-nucleotide long non-coding RNA is filed under the name Lathyrus oleraceus (garden pea). Its description in RNAcentral is "Pisum sativum (pea) long non-coding RNA (PSAT_LNC035829)". The record is from RNAcentral. Lineage: Eukaryota; Viridiplantae; Streptophyta; Magnoliopsida; Fabales; Fabaceae.